Molecule: ribosomal RNA, 367 nt
Filed under: uncultured bacterium
Lineage: Bacteria
Description: bacterial SSU rRNA
Rfam family: Bacterial small subunit ribosomal RNA
Source: RNAcentral
AACGAACGCUGGCGGCAUGCCUAACACAUGCAAGUCGAACGGGAUCCUAGCUUGCUAGGUGAGAGUGGCGGACGGGUGAGUAACACGUGGGAAUCUGCCUUUUGGUUCGGGAUAACCGCGGGAAACUGCGGCUAAUACCGAAUGCCCUCGAGAGAGGAAAGAUUUAUCGCCAGAAGAGGAGCCCGCGUCCGAUUAGGUAGUUGGUGGGGUAAAGCCUACCAAGCCGACGAUCGGUAGCUGGUCUGAGAGGAUGAUCAGCCACACUGGGACUGAGAUACGGCCCAGACUCCUACGGGAGGCAGCAGUGGGGAAUAUUGGACAAUGGGGGCAACCCUGAUCCAGCAAUGCCGCGUGAGUGAUGAAGGCC